UACGUAGGGUGCGAGCGUUGUCCGGAAUUAUUGGGCGUAAAGAGCUUGUAGGCGGUUUGUCGCGUCUGCUGUGAAAAUCCGGGGCUCAACCCCGGACUUGCAGUGGGUACGGGCAGACUAGAGUGUGGUAGGGGAGACUGGAAUUCCUGGUGUAGCGGUGAAAUGCGCAGAUAUCAGGAAGAACACCCGUGGCGAAGGCGGCUCUCUGGGACGGUACUGACG
This 222-nucleotide ribosomal RNA is filed under the name uncultured bacterium. RNAcentral describes it as "partial 16S ribosomal RNA". It matches the Rfam family "Bacterial small subunit ribosomal RNA", at positions 524 to 745 of the family's 1533-position model. The record is from RNAcentral.